RNAcentral lists this ribosomal RNA (1471 nucleotides) under uncultured Denitrobacterium sp. Its description in RNAcentral is "16S ribosomal RNA". It matches the Rfam family "Bacterial small subunit ribosomal RNA". Lineage: Bacteria; Bacillati; Actinomycetota; Coriobacteriia; Eggerthellales; Eggerthellaceae. The record is from RNAcentral.
UUAGAGUUUGAUCCUGGCUCAGGAUGAACGCUGGCGGCGUGCCUAACACAUGCAAGUCGAACGAGAGAGCGCCCCUCGGGGCGCCAGUACAGUGGCGAACGGGUGAGUAACACGUGACCAACCUCCCUCCCGCCCCGGGAUACCUCAGGGAAACCUGAGCUAACACCGGGUACUCCGGGGGCCCCGCAUGGGGCCCCCGGGAAAGCCCUCGGGCGGCGGGAGAUGGGGUCGCGGCCCAUUAGGUAGUCGGCGGGGCAACGGCCCACCGAGCCCGCGAUGGGUAGCCGGGUUGAGAGACCGAUCGGCCACAUUGGGACUGAGAUACGGCCCAGACUCCUACGGGAGGCAGCAGUGGGGAAUUUUGCGCAAUGGGGGGAUGCCCUGACGCAGCAACGCCGCGUGCGGGACGGAGGCCUUCGGGCUGUGAACCGCUUUCAGCAGGGACGAUCGUGACGGUACCUGCAGAAGAAGCUCCGGCUAACUACGUGCCAGCAGCCGCGGUAAUACGUAGGGAGCGAGCGUUAUCCGGAUUCAUUGGGCGUAAAGCGCUCGUAGGCCGCCCGCCAAGCAGGGCUUCGAACCUGGGGGCUCAACCUCCAGCAGGGCCUUGGACUGGCGGGCUCGAGUGCGGUAGAGGAAGGCGGAAUUCCCAGUGGAGCGGUGGAAUGCACAGAUAUUGGGAAGAACACCGAUGGCGAAGGCAGCCUUCUGGGCCGCCACUGACGCUGAGGAGCGAAAGCUAGGGGAGCGAACAGGAUUAGAUACCCUGGUAGUCCUAGCCGUAAACGAUGGGCACUAGGUGUGGGGGAGACCCCCCCGUGCCGCAGCCAACGCAUUAAGUGCCCCGCCUGGGGAGUACGGCCGCAAGGCUAAAACUCAAAGGAAUUGACGGGGGCCCGCACAAGCAGCGGAGCAUGUGGCUUAAUUCGAAGCAACGCGAAGAACCUUACCAGGCCUUGACACCCGGGUGAAGCGGCGGAGACGCCGUGGCCGAGAGGAGCCCGGACAGGUGGUGCAUGGCUGUCGUCAGCUCGUGUCGUGAGAUGUUGGGUUAAGUCCCGCAACGAGCGCAACCCCUGUCGCGUGUUGCCAGCAUUCAGUUGGGGACUCACGCGAGACUGCCGGCGUCAAGCCGGAGGAGGGCGGGGACGACGUCAUGUCAUCAUGCCCCUUAUGGCCUGGGCUGCACACGUGCUACAAUGGCCGGCACAGCGAGCGGCGAGCCCGCGAGGGCGAGCGAAUCUCACAAAGCCGGCCCCAGUUCGGACUGGAGGCUGCAACCCGCCUCCACGAAGCCGGAGUUGCUAGUAAUCGCGGAUCAGCACGCCGCGGUGAAUGCGUUCCCGGGCCUUGUACACACCGCCCGUCACACCAUCCGAGUCGUCUGCACCCGAAGUCGUCGGCCCAACCGCAAGGAGGGAGAUGCCGAAGGUGUGGAGGGUAAGGGGGGUGAAGUCGUAACAAGGUAACC